CGGAGGGAAACCGAGUCUUAAUUGGGCGUUAAGUUGCAGGGUAUAGACCCGAAACCCGGUGAUCUAGCCAUGGGCAGGUUGAAGGUUGGGUAACACUAACUGGAGGACCGAACCGACUAAUGUUGAAAAAUUAGCGGAUGACCUGUGGCUGGGGGUGAAAGGCCAAUCAAACCGGGAGAUAGCUGGUUCUCCCCGAAAGCUAUUUAGGUAGCGCCUCGUGAAUUCAUCUCCGGGGGUAGAGCACUGUUUCGGCUAGGGGGCCAUCCCGGCUUACCAACCCGAUGCAAACUGCGAAUACCGGAGAAUGUUAUCACGGGAGACACACGGCGGGUGCUAACGUCCGUCGUGAAGAGGGAAACAACCCAGACCGCCAGCUAAGGUCCCAAAGUCAUGGUUAAGUGGGAAACGAUGUGGGAAGGCCCAGACAGCCAGGAUGUUGGCUUAGAAGCAGCCAUCAUUUAAAGAAAGCGUAAUAGCUCACUGGUCGAGUCGGCCUGCGCGGAAGAUGUAACGGGGCUAAACCAUG
This 526-nucleotide ribosomal RNA is filed under the name Salmonella enterica. RNAcentral describes it as "partial 23S ribosomal RNA". It matches the Rfam family "Bacterial large subunit ribosomal RNA", at positions 667 to 1191 of the family's 2925-position model. RNAcentral also lists the same sequence under 5 other names. The record is from RNAcentral. Lineage: Bacteria; Pseudomonadati; Pseudomonadota; Gammaproteobacteria; Enterobacterales; Enterobacteriaceae.